AUUAUAAAUUUGUUGGGACUAGUUUUAAAAUAAAAUUUUUUCAGGGCCAUUUGCAAAAAAAUGCCCUAAAAAUUAGGCUCAGUGCGUAAGGCGUAUGGAUACACCUGGUGCAGGGAAUAAUUUUUCAGCAAAUCUAUUUGGACGGCUCAGAUCACUUUACAUAAACCCAUAACUCUGCAUCGAGAAGCCCUUUUAAACCCUAACCUUCGUCGCCUCUUUCUCUCUUCCUCUCCCCCUUCUCCGCUUUCUAAAAACCUAAUCCCCGCCUCCUCCCUCUACCUCCCUCUCUCUCUCUCUCUCUCUCUCUCUCUCUCUCUCUCCCCC
This 324-nucleotide long non-coding RNA is filed under the name Ananas comosus (pineapple). Its description in RNAcentral is "long non-coding RNA (ACOM_LNC040534)". The record is from RNAcentral. Lineage: Eukaryota; Viridiplantae; Streptophyta; Magnoliopsida; Poales; Bromeliaceae.